CUGGCAGCCAGACCAGCAACAGGCGUCAAGUCCCAGCACAGCCCAUCUGAGGAUGUCCUGGGCCUGCUGGGGGAGGAGAGGGACUACACACCAAAGGAGUUGCAGAAUCCAACUAAUACAGGCCUGCAGGAGCUAAGAGAAUAUACAUUAAUGGAAUCCCCAGGGUGCUGGAUCAAGAGCAGCUGAACAUCAAAUUGGGCUGGGAUUGUGCCUCUACAUGCAGCAGAAGGAGAGAGGGGCAUGUGAGGUGAGGGUGUAAGCCAGGAAGUAAUUCUAAGGAUGGACUGUGGAACCUAGCACGCACAGAGGGAAACAACACGCAGGCACUGAGGUUUGCCACCAGAACACAGGUGUUGUGAAAACCACCACUAAGCCUAAACCAAAAUGCAAAAGAAAAGACUCACGUCAACAUUAUCGUCAUUGGAUGAUUCAGGAAGUCUACCACUACUGGUCAUCUGAUCUACAAAUAUGGUGGGAUUGACAAAAGAACUAUUGAAAAAUUUGAGAAGGAGGCUGCUGGGAUGGGAAAGGGCUCCUUCAAGUAUGCCUGGGUCUUGGAUAAACUGGAAGUUGAACGUGAACGUGGUAUCACCAUCGAUAUCUCCCUGCAGAAAUUUGAGACCAGCAAAGUAUUAUGCGACCAUCAUUGAUGCCCCAGGACACAGAGACUUUAUCAAAAACAUGAUUACAGGCACAUCUCAG
This is a non-coding RNA of Callorhinus ursinus (northern fur seal), 702 nucleotides long. NCBI's taxonomy places the organism in Eukaryota, Metazoa, Chordata, Mammalia, Carnivora, Otariidae. The record is from RefSeq and is a predicted model, not a curated record.